AGUGAACGCUGGCGGUAGGCCUAACACAUGCAAGUCGAACGGCAGCACAGUAAGAGCUUGCUCUUACGGGUGGCGAGUGGCGGACGGGUGAGGAAUACAUCGGAAUCUACUUUUUCGUGGGGGAUAACGUAGGGAAACUUACGCUAAUACCGCAUACGACCUACGGGUGAAAGCAGGGGAUCUUCGGACCUUGCGCGAUUGAAUGAGCCGAUGUCGGAUUAGCUAGUUGGCGGGGUAAAGGCCCACCAAGGCGACGAUCCGUAGCUGGUCUGAGAGGAUGACCGGCCAAAGUGGAAUGGAGACACGGUCCAGCCUCUAAGGGAAGGCGCAGGGGGGAAUAUUGGACAAUGGGGCGCAACCCUGUCCAGGCAAUACCGCGUGGGUAAGGAAGGCUUUCGGUUGGUAAGGCCUUUUGUUGGGAAAGAAAAGCAGCAGGUUAAUACCCCGCUGUUCUGACGGUACCCAAAGAAUAAGCACCGGCUAACUUCGUG
This 491-nucleotide ribosomal RNA is filed under the name uncultured bacterium. Its description in RNAcentral is "partial 16S ribosomal RNA". It matches the Rfam family "Bacterial small subunit ribosomal RNA", at positions 29 to 507 of the family's 1533-position model. The record is from RNAcentral.